CAGAUGUAAAUACUGAGGCAGUAAGUAGGGAAGAGACUUGAGCUAUUUAAGGGGAGAACUGAGGGAGACUCAGUUUAUUGCCCAUUCUCCAGUCUGCCAGGAAUCUGUCCUGUGCCUUACACAAAAUGGGGGUGAACCUGGGGCUUUUGAACAAUGAUGCUAAUAUACAGAUUUCUACUCUAAUGUCAAUUCCAAUGAGAUUUGGUUGGGGCUGAUUUCUUAGAAGUAGUGAAAAUCUAGUUAUUGUCAAGAUACUUCCAUAUCUCCCUUCUGCCUCCUUAUAACGUUGCUUUCCUUGACUUCAGCCACUUCCAGAGUAGGAAGGACUACCCACAGCUGGGGUCUGAGGAAGUGAAGGCACCCACUACUUUCAGCACCUGCCCAAGGCCUCGCUGCCAGGAAACAGCAGGGGUAGAAGACUGAAGAACGGAGCAGAGACCCCCCUGGCUGCACGGAGUGACGCUCAAAGUCACCAAGGACAUUGAUGGCCAAAUCAAGAUUGAUGUCAGAAUUGCUGAUUAGAGUCUGUCCAACCACAGGCCUGGAUUGAUGAGAAUAUUUUUAGAACAUACUUCACUCUUUGGCUCCUUUGACAACUCCUCACCAAUGUUUUCUUAUUUAAUUACUUUCCAUGUAAUCUGCUCCUGCAGACUUGCCCUCAGUAUUGCCUGCAUGAACAGCUUCCGUCUUGCAUUUCCUAGAAAAUACGCAUGCUCUGUCAUUUGGCAAGCACCUCCAGACUUAGGAGAGAGAUCUCUGUUGUGUCAGUCU
Long non-coding RNA from Bos taurus (domestic cattle), 771 nucleotides. The record is from Ensembl. NCBI's taxonomy places the organism in Eukaryota, Metazoa, Chordata, Mammalia, Artiodactyla, Bovidae.